Molecule: unclassified non-coding RNA, 237 nt
Filed under: plant metagenome
Description: partial contains small subunit ribosomal RNA and internal transcribed spacer 1
Rfam family: Eukaryotic small subunit ribosomal RNA (bases 1-46)
Source: RNAcentral
AAGUCGUAACAAGGUUUCCGUAGGUGAACCUGCGGAAGGAUCAUUUACAGUGAGUUCAUGACCCUUCACGGGGUUAGGAUCUCCCCCAUCCCAUUGUAUACGCAUUAAUUUCUAUCUGUUGCUUUGGCCUGGGGCCCGCGAUGCCUCGCUCCCUGGGUUCUGCCCGGCGUGCCCGCCAGAGGGAAACCAUAAACUCUUGGAAGUGUUAGUGUCGUCGAGUACUUAUAAUAGUUAAAC